RNAcentral lists this ribosomal RNA (739 nucleotides) under Cryocola sp. RNAcentral describes it as "bacterial SSU rRNA". It matches the Rfam family "Bacterial small subunit ribosomal RNA", at positions 73 to 825 of the family's 1533-position model. Lineage: Bacteria; Bacillati; Actinomycetota; Actinomycetes; Micrococcales; Microbacteriaceae. The record is from RNAcentral.
CAGGAGCUUGCUCUUGGGGAUUAGUGGCGAACGGGUGAGUAACACGUGAGUAACCUGCCCUUGACUCUGGGAUAACCUCCGGAAACGGAAGCUAAUACCGGAUACGAACUGCGAAGGCAUCUUCAGCAGUUGGAAAGAACUUCGGUCAAGGAUGGACUCGCGGCCUAUCAGGUAGUUGGUGAGGUAACGGCCCACCAAGCCUACGACGGGUAGCCGGCCUGAGAGGGUGACCGGCCACACUGGGACUGAGACACGGCCCAGACUCCUACGGGAGGCAGCAGUGGGGAAUAUUGCACAAUGGGCGCAAGCCUGAUGCAGCAACGCCGCGUGAGGGAUGACGGCCUUCGGGUUGUAAACCUCUUUUAGUAGGGAAGAAGCGAAAGUGACGGUACCUGCAGAAAAAGCACCGGCUAACUACGUGCCAGCAGCCGCGGUAAUACGUAGGGUGCGAGCGUUGUCCGGAAUUAUUGGGCGUAAAGAGCUCGUAGGCGGUCUGUCGCGUCUGCUGUGAAAACCCGAGGCUCAACCUCGGGCCUGCAGUGGGUACGGGCAGACUAGAGUGCGGUAGGGGAGAAUGGAAUUCCUGGUGUAGCGGUGGAAUGCGCAGAUAUCAGGAGGAACACCGAUGGCGAAGGCAGUUCUCUGGGCCGUAACUGACGCUGAGGAGCGAAAGCGUGGGGAGCGAACAGGAUUAGAUACCCUGGUAGUCCACGCCGUAAACGUUGGGCGCUAGAUGUGG